AGAGUUUGAUCAUGGCUCAGGACGAACGCUUGCGGCGUGCCUAAGAAAUGCAAGUCGAACGGGGGCUUCGGCCCCAGUGGCGAACGGUCGCGUAACACGUAAGCAACCUGCCCUGAAGUGGGGGACAACAUUCCGAAAGGGGUGCUAAUACCGCAUGUGGUCACGAGUCGGCAUCGACUUGUGUCUAAAGAUUUAUCGCUUCAGGAUGGGCUUGCGGCCUAUCAGGUAGUUGGUGGGGUAAUGGCCUACCAAGCCGACGACGGGUAGCUGGUCUGAGAGGACGAUCAGCCGGAUUGGGACUGAGAUACGGCCCAGACUCCUACGGGGGGCAGCAAUUAGGAAUCUUGCGCAAUGGGGGAAACCCUGACGCAGCGACGUCGCGUGAAGGAUGAAGGCCCUCGGGUCGUAAACUUCUUUUGAGUGGGAAGAAAUUUGACGGUACCACUCGAAUAAGCCCCGGCUAACUACGUGCCAGCAGCCGCGGUAAUACGUAGGGGGCGAGCGUUGUCCGAAGUUACUGGGCGUAAAGCGCGCGUAGGCGGUUAUUUAAGUCUGGGGUGAAAGGUUCAGCGCUCAACGUGAACAGUGCCUUGGAUACUGGAUGACUUGAGUCUGGGAGGGGGAAGGGGAAUUC
RNAcentral lists this ribosomal RNA (634 nucleotides) under uncultured Crater Lake bacterium CL500-18. Its description in RNAcentral is "bacterial SSU rRNA". It matches the Rfam family "Bacterial small subunit ribosomal RNA", at positions 8 to 669 of the family's 1533-position model. The record is from RNAcentral.